This 459-nucleotide ribosomal RNA is filed under the name uncultured bacterium. RNAcentral's name for it is "partial 16S ribosomal RNA". It matches the Rfam family "Bacterial small subunit ribosomal RNA", at positions 338 to 795 of the family's 1533-position model. The record is from RNAcentral.
CCUACGAGUGGCUGCAGUGAGGAAUAUUGGUCAAUGGGCGCGAGCCUGAACCAGCCAAGUCGCGUGAGGGAAGACGGUCCUCUGGAUUGUAAACCUCUUUUGUCGGGGAGCAAACGACGCCACGCGUGGCGUUCCGCGAGUACCCGAAGAAAAAGCAUAGGCUAACUCCGUGCCAGCAGCCGCGGUAAUAAGGAGGAUGCGAGCGUUAUUCGGAUUUAUUGGGUUUAAGGGGUGCGCAGGCGGAAGAUCAAGUCAGCGGUAAAAUUGAGUGGCUCCACCGCUUCGAGCCGUUGAAACUGGUUGUCUUGAGUGAGCGAGAAGUAUGCGGAAUGCGUGGUGUAGCGGUGAAAUGCAUAGAUAUCACGCAGAACUCCGAUUGCGAAGGCAGCAUACCGGCGCUCAACUGACGCUCAUGCACGAAAGUGUGGGUAUCGAACAGGAUUAGAUACCCUGGUAGUC